RNAcentral lists this ribosomal RNA (500 nucleotides) under uncultured bacterium. Its description in RNAcentral is "partial 16S ribosomal RNA". It matches the Rfam family "Bacterial small subunit ribosomal RNA", at positions 28 to 507 of the family's 1533-position model. The record is from RNAcentral.
GACGAACGCUGGCGGCGUGCUUAACACAUGCAAGUCGAACGGGCCUGUCUUCUUUUUUGGGGGGUGGGUUGAGUGGCGAACGGGUGAGUAUCACGUGAGUAACCUGCCCUUCGGUCCUGGAUAACCGCUUGAAAGGGCGGCUAAUACGGGUUGGUCCGGUUGGUCCGCAUGGGCUGGUCGGGAUAGAUUCACUGUUUUUGGUGUUUCGGCGGGGGUUGGGCUCGCGGCCUAUCAGCUUGUUGGUGGGGUGAUGGCCUACCAAGGCGGUGACGGGUAGCCGGCCUGAGAGGGUGGGCGGCCAGACUGGGGCUGAGGUACGGCCCAGACUGGGGCGGGGGGCAGGAGUGGGGGGGAUUGCAGAAGGGGCGGAAGCCUGAUGCAGCGACGUCGGGUGAGGGAUGGAGGCGUUCGGGUUGUGAACCUCUGUUUCCGGUGGUGAAGGCCCUGUCCGUGUGGUGGGGUCGACGGUAGCCGGGGAUGAAGCGCCGGCUAACUACGUG